UUAUUCUCAAACUCACACUUGUUGUAACGACUUGUUGUGGGCUUUGGAUGUGGGGACUACUGGACUCUAUUAAGUUGGAGGUCGGUUUCCCUUAAAUAUAUUAGUGGUUGGUCGGGCCCCAGCUCUUGGUGUAUGUUUAGGUUUUUAUCAGCUACACCUUAUACAGUCUGGCUAGCCCAUGCUAUGGCUACUGCUCUCUAACCGUCUUUUCAAAGACAAUUAGUAACAAU
This 230-nucleotide unclassified non-coding RNA is filed under the name uncultured Agaricomycetes. RNAcentral describes it as "sequence contains ITS2". Lineage: Eukaryota; Fungi; Basidiomycota; Agaricomycetes. The record is from RNAcentral.